UACAGGGGGGGGCAAGCGUUGUUCGGAAUUACUGGGCGUAAAGGGUCUGUAGGUGGCCAACUAAGUCAGACGUGAAAUCCCUCAGCUUAACUGGGGAACUGCGUCUGAUACUGGAUGGCUUGAGUUCGGGAGAGGGAUGCGGAAUUCCAGGUGUAGCGGUGAAAUGCGUAGAUAUCUGGAGGAACACCGGUGGCGAAGGCGGCAUCCUGGACCGAGAUUGACGCUGAGGCGCGAAAGCCAGGGGAGCAAACAGG
RNAcentral lists this ribosomal RNA (254 nucleotides) under uncultured bacterium. RNAcentral describes it as "partial 16S ribosomal RNA". It matches the Rfam family "Bacterial small subunit ribosomal RNA", at positions 524 to 776 of the family's 1533-position model. The record is from RNAcentral.